GAGUUUGAUCCUGGCUCACAGUGAACGCUGGCGGCGUGGCUAAGGCAUGCAAGUCGCACGGGGUAGCAAUACCCAGUGGCGAAAGGGUGAGUAAUGGAUAGCUAACGUACCUUGAACACAGGCAUAGCCAGUCGAAAGAUUGGGUAAUUCCUGGUAACGCUGUUUCGCGGCAUCGCGAGACAACCAAAGAUGAGGACCGCAAGGCUUAUCGGUUUAAGAGCGGGUUAUCUUCCAUCAGCUAGUUGGUGUGGUAAUGGCGCACCAAGGCUAUGACGGAUAGCUGGUCUGAGAGGACGACCAGCCACAUUGGCACUGAGACACUGGCCAGACUCCUACGGGGGGCUGCAGCAACGAAUCUUCCGCAAUGGGCGAAAGCCUGACGGAGCGACGCCGCGUGUGGGAUGAAGUCUUUCGGGAUGUAAACCACUGUUAGGGUUAUGAAAGCGUUGGAGGAUAAUACCUUCCAAAGUUGAUCUAGCCCAGAGAAAGGGACGGCUAACUCUGUGCCAGCAGCCGCGGUAAUACAGAGGUCCCAAGCGUUACUGACAUUCACUGGGUUUAAAGGGUGCGUAGGUGGCGCGUUAAGUCAGUUGUGAAAUCCCCGGGCUCAACCCGGGAAAAGCUUCUGAUACUGGCGCGCUUGAGGUCGGUAUAGGCUAC
Molecule: ribosomal RNA, 660 nt
Filed under: uncultured bacterium
Lineage: Bacteria
Description: bacterial SSU rRNA
Rfam family: Bacterial small subunit ribosomal RNA
Source: RNAcentral